This 244-nucleotide long non-coding RNA is filed under the name Chrysolophus pictus (golden pheasant). RNAcentral describes it as "lncRNA (ENSCPIG00010003003.1)". The record is from RNAcentral. Lineage: Eukaryota; Metazoa; Chordata; Aves; Galliformes; Phasianidae.
CUUCCCAUGGGAAUCAGCAUUGCAUGGCUUGAGGUAUGGAAGGAACUGGGAUCACUCUGCUCUCCUCACCUGUCCUGUCAGACACAUCUGCAGAUAUGCAAUCCAGCUGGUACAUAUGAAAUUCAGAAAGAAUGAACACAUCACGACAGCAGCAUACCGACUGUCUGACUCUCAAGAUAAGGCUUCUCUUUGUGUCCUGGAGCAUAUGCAGGCCGGAGCCUUGGAGAAUCGUUUCUCACCAACC